GCGGAUGGCCGGAUGACCGCGGCACGGCUUCAUGCCGGGUCGAGGAAAGUCCGGGCUCCACAAGGCAACGGUGCCGGGUAACGCCCGGCGGGGGCAACCCCAGGGAAAGCGCCACAGAGAGAAGACCGCCGCGGGUCCGCCCGCGGCAAGGGUGAAACGGUGGGGCAAGAGCCCACCGCGGGACGGGCAACCGGACCGGCAAGGCAAGCCCCACCGGGAGCAAUGCCGAAUAGGGAGCGCGCGCCGGGGCAAGCCUCGGCAGGACGGCCUGGUCCGGGCGCUCCGGGUUGGCAGCACGAGCGCCGCGGCGACGCGGCGCCCAGAGGAAUGGUCAUCCACGGGGGCUUCGGCCCCCCGGACAGAACCCGGCUUACAGGCCAUCCGCGCAG
RNAcentral lists this RNase P RNA (389 nucleotides) under Paracoccus sp. S-4012. Its description in RNAcentral is "Bacterial RNase P class A". It matches the Rfam family "Bacterial RNase P class A". From Rfam's summary of the family: Ribonuclease P (RNase P) is a ubiquitous endoribonuclease, found in archaea, bacteria and eukarya as well as chloroplasts and mitochondria. Its best characterised activity is the generation of mature 5'-ends of tRNAs by cleaving the 5'-leader elements of precursor-tRNAs. The record is from Rfam by way of RNAcentral. Lineage: Bacteria; Pseudomonadati; Pseudomonadota; Alphaproteobacteria; Rhodobacterales; Paracoccaceae.